This is a long non-coding RNA of Numida meleagris (helmeted guineafowl), 1152 nucleotides long. RefSeq lists it as uncharacterized. The record is from RefSeq and is a predicted model, not a curated record. The transcript is spliced from 4 exons. NCBI's taxonomy places the organism in Eukaryota, Metazoa, Chordata, Aves, Galliformes, Numididae.
CGCGGCGGGGUGUCAUGGCGGCCGUUACCAUGGAGACGGCCGGCUGACCCGCGACCUGCUCCGCCGAGAUCGCUCCCUGCGCUGGGGAUAGAGGAUAGGGCCGGGGCCGGGGAGGGCGGGAUGGAUGUGCCCCAAAGUCGGGGGCAGUGACCGUCACGGGGCGCGGUUUGGUUGGGUUUGAGGCACGUGAACGCUGUGCUGCGUCCUUCUCACGCGUUCAGCGCUCGAGGUGGGAGAGAGCGGCACGGAGGAGCUGCCGGAAUAAAUAAUUGUACUAAAUAGCAGCUCGGUGGCAGCUUUCCUGAGGGGAUGGCUGAAACCAGCUCGGUUUUCGUCGCUUGUUUAUUUCUCGCUAGGCUGCCGUUGUGCCCGCCGCAGUCACGGGGCAGAUGAACAAGAAGGGAUGGGGCGAGGAGGAAACAAUCUGCAGAGCAGAGCAGAGACCGACCCGGGGGAGUCGGUGCUGGGUCCGCUCGCGUUCAACGUCUUCAUCGUUGACCUGGAGGAAGGAGGGAGCGCACCCGCAGCAGCAAGUUUGGGGAUGGCACGAGGCUGGGAGGAGUGGCUGACACCCCAUAGGGCCGUGCUGCAGUUCAGCGAGAGCUGGGCAGGCUGAGAGGUGUUGUGAGCGCUUUGGUCACCUUUUUAUUCACAGUCAGCAUCCUUCUGCUCGGCCAGCCAGGAGCAAUGCGUGCAAUCAGCUGCAAGAGACUUUUUGGUAAUAAGAUCAAAGGCCAAUUUUGUUGUGGGACAAAAAAUUAAAGCCAAAAAUCAUCCAGUGCUUUUUAUCCAGGUCAUUUUUUUUUAUUUUUUUUUUUAAAUAUAAUUUCAUCGUGCCUCUUUUGUGGCAAGGAUCAGCUGUCAGGUUGGUUUUCUGGACUUGUUGGCUUUGUUAGCUCGUCCUCCGUGUUGAGCAAGGCAGAAAAGGGUGUUAGGAUUUUCUAAGCAGGCGUGGCUUUCACGGGGGACUCCUGUGGAGAAUGCACCAACGCUUCUUAGGAUCACGGGAAGGAAAUGGCCUGAUCAAGACAGCCCUCGACAGUCUGAAGGAAACACAGUCUGAAGCACAGAGCUCGUGCUGCUAUGGGCACGUUGUUGAGAUACCGUAUGCCGAGAGCCUAUAAUAAAUGGUAACCGAUAUUUCUAACAGCA